Molecule: ribosomal RNA, 372 nt
Filed under: uncultured organism
Description: partial 16S ribosomal RNA
Rfam family: Bacterial small subunit ribosomal RNA
Source: RNAcentral
GUAGGGUGCAAGCGUUGUCCGGAAUUACUGGGUGUAAAGGGAGCGCAGGCGGGAAGGUAAGUUGGAUGUUUAAUCUACGGGCUCAACCCGUAUCAGCAUUCAAAACUAUUUUUCUUGAGUGGUGCAGAGGUAGGCGGAAUUCCCGGUGUAGCGGUGGAAUGCGUAGAUAUCGGGAGGAACACCAGUGGCGAAGGCGGCCUGCUGGGCACUAACUGACGCUGAGGCUCGAAAGCAUGGGUAGCAAACAGGAUUAGAUACCCUGGUAGUCCAUGCCGUAAACGAUGAUUACUAGGUGUGGGAGGAUUGACCCCCUUCCGUGCCCGCAGUUAACACAAUAAGUAAUCCACCUGGGGGAGUACGACCGCAAGGUUG